AUUGAACGCUGGCGGCAGGCCUAACACAUGCAAGUCGAGCGGAUGAAGGGAGCUUGCUCCUGGAUUCAGCGGCGGACGGGUGAGUAAUGCCUAGGAAUCUGCCUGGUAGUGGGGGAUAACGUCCGGAAACGGGCGCUAAUACCGCAUACGUCCUGAGGGAGAAAGUGGGGGAUCUUCGGACCUCACGCUAUCAGAUGAGCCUAGGUCGGAUUAGCUAGUUGGUGGGGUAAGGGCCUACCAAGGCGACGAUCCGUAACUGGUCUGAGAGGAUGAUCAGUCACACUGGAACUGAGACACGGUCCAGACUCCUACGGGAGGCAGCAGUGGGGAAUAUUGGACAAUGGGCGAAAGCCUGAUCCAGCCAUGCCGCGUGUGUGAAGAAGGUCUUUGGAUUGUAAAGCACUUUAAGUUGGGAGGAAGGGCAGUAAGUUAAUACCUUGCUGUUUUGACGUUACCAACAGAAUAAGCACCGGCUAACUUCGUG
Molecule: ribosomal RNA, 484 nt
Filed under: uncultured bacterium
Lineage: Bacteria
Description: partial 16S ribosomal RNA
Rfam family: Bacterial small subunit ribosomal RNA
Source: RNAcentral